GUGUAAAUUUUGGGCACAAUUCUAGCAAGAUUUUAGGAAAACAUGCUAAAAUAUUAAAUAAAGUUUCAACAAUAUUAAACAAAUUUCGUACAUGAAAAAUAUAUUAAAAUGGGGGAAAUAUCCAGUGAAAACGCACGUCUGAUGAAAACCUGAAAACUAUGGACGUUAGCCAUCGGAUUGACAAUGUACGCCCCAGAUCGAUCGUGGGAAUCGAACCAAGAAUUUAAACGUAAUUUUACGGAACACCCCUUGCAGUUUCUGCCCCUUAUAGCGACUAGGAUGUGGAAAAAAUAAUUCAUCCAUACUCUUCUAAAAAAAGUUAUCUUCUUAUUGUCCAUGUUCCUAUAUGUCUUUCUUCAUGUGAGAUACGAAGGCUAAACAUCAUUGGUGUUUGCCCAUUAUCAGUGGAAGCUUCUUUGCCUUCCUUUCAGUUUGUCUUUCAACCAUAAUAUUUUGUUCUUUAAAUGCCGAAAAUGCUCCCACUUUCAACCACGUUCAAUCAAUCAAAGCAAAAAAAAAAAGAUCCAUGUGCCUACUAUAGAUUAUUUAAGAUCCGAAGGAUAGUUUCUGGGAGGAGGGGCUAGCAUAGAGGACGGUGGCGAUAGAUCUCAGGUGGACAAGCUCAUGUGCGACAUAUGAGGAGGACGACAUGUGAUGGAUCUUGGGGCCAGUUACAACUCGGACUAGUAGACGAUGAAGACGAAGGGGCAA
RNAcentral lists this long non-coding RNA (711 nucleotides) under Brachypodium distachyon (stiff brome). Its description in RNAcentral is "long non-coding RNA (BDIS_LNC005022)". Lineage: Eukaryota; Viridiplantae; Streptophyta; Magnoliopsida; Poales; Poaceae. The record is from RNAcentral.